Non-coding RNA from Cinara cedri, 239 nucleotides. Lineage: Eukaryota; Metazoa; Arthropoda; Insecta; Hemiptera; Aphididae. The record is from the annotation of a GenBank genome assembly.
AAAAUAAUACUUAAAAUCAACUAAUGGAAAUAUUAAAUAAUUUAAUUAUUUUGUUAUUUCUGAUUUUUGAUUCUCUGUAGAUUUUUUUGGCAACAAGGACUCCGCGAACAAAAGGUAUUGAGAAUUCUUGCUUUAUACUAUAGAUCUUGUUCCGUGGUAGAUAAUGCAUGUAUAUCGAUAAAAUAAAUAUAUUUUUCCAAUAUAGAGAUUUGCUAUAUUUUUAAAUCACCAAACUGGAC